Molecule: ribosomal RNA, 459 nt
Filed under: uncultured bacterium
Lineage: Bacteria
Description: partial 16S ribosomal RNA
Rfam family: Bacterial small subunit ribosomal RNA
Source: RNAcentral
CCUACGGGAGGCAGCAGUGAGGAAUAUUGGUCAAUGGCCGAGAGGCUGAACCAGCCAAGUCGCGUGAGGGAAGAAUGUCCUAUGGAUUGUAAACCUCUUUUGUCAGGGAGCAAAGUCACCCACGUGUGGGUGUUGGCGAGUAUCUGAAGAAAAAGCAUCGGCUAACUCCGCGCCAGCAGCCGCGGUAAUACGGAGGAUGCGAGCGUUAUCCGGAUUUAUUGGGUUUAAAGGGUGCGUAGGCGGGUUAUCAAGUCAGCGGUAAAAUCGUGGAGCUCAACUCCAUCCAGCCGUUGAAACUGAUGAUCUUGAGUGAGCGAGAGGUAUGCGGAAUGCGUGGUGUAGCGGUGAAAUGCAUAGAUAUCACGCAGAACUCCGAUUGCGAAGGCAGCUUACCGGCGCCCGACUGACGCUGAAGCACGAAAGCGUGGGUAUCGAACAGGAUUAGAUACCCCAGUAGUC